AGUUUGAUCCUGGCUCAGGACGAACGCUGGCGGCGUGCUUAACACAUGCAAGUCGAACGAUGAAGACCAGCUUGCUGGUCUCUGCCGGAAAGAUUUAUCGGUUCUGGAUGGACUCGCGGCCUAUCAGCUAGAUGGUGAGGUAAUGGCUCACCAUGGCGACGACGGGUAGCCGGCCUGAGAGGGUGACCGGCCACACUGGGACUGAGACACGGCUCGGACUCCUACGGGAGGCAGCAGUGGGGAAUAUUGCACAAUGGGCGCAAGCCUGAUGCAGCAACGCCGCGUGAGGGAUGACGGCCUUCGGGUUGUAAACCUCUUUUAGUAGGGAAGAAGCGAAAGUGACGGUACCUGCAGAAAAAGCACCGGCUAACUACGUGCCAGCAGCCGCGGUAAUACGUAGGGUGCAAGCGUUGUCCGGAAUUAUUGGGCGUAAAGAGCUCGUAGGCGUCUUGUCGCGUCUGCUGUGAAAACCCGGGGCUCAACCCCGGCUCUGCAGUGGGUACGGGCAGGCUAGAGUGCGGUAGGGGAGAUUGGAAUUCCUGGUGUAGCGGUGGAAUGCGCAGAUAUCAGGAGGAACACCGAUGGCGAAGGCGACUCUCUGGGUCUGUAAUGACGCUCAGGUGCGAAAGCGUGGGGAGCAAACAGGAUUAGAUACCCUGGUAGUCCAUGCCGUAAACGUUGGGAACUAGAUGUAGGGCCUGUUCCACGGGUUCUGUGUCGUACGUAACGCAUUAAGUUCCCGCCUGGGGAGUACGGCCGCAAGGUUAAAACUCAAAGGAAUUGACGGGGGCCCGCACAAGCGGUGGAGCAUGCGGAUUAAUUCGAUGCAACGCGAAGAACCUUACCAAGGCUUGACAUAUACGAGAACGGGCGAGAGAUCGUCAACUCUUUGGACACUCGUAUACAGGUGGUGCAUGGUUGUCGUCAGCUCGUGUCGUGAGAUGUUGGGUUAAGUCCCGCAACGAGCGCAACCCUCGUCCUAUGUUGCCAGCACGUUAUGGUGGGAACUCAUGGGAUACUGCCGUGGUCAACACGGAGGAAGGUGGGGAUGACGUCAAAUCAUCAUGGCCCUUACGACCAGGGCUACACACGUACUACAAUGGCCGAUACAAAGGGCUGGCAUACCGCGAGGUGGAGCGAAUCCCAAAAAGUCGGUCUCAGUUCGGAUUGGGGUCUGCAACUCGACCCCAUGAAGUCGGAGUCGCUAGUAAUCGCAGAUCAGCAACGCUGCGGUGAAUACGUUCCCGGGCCUUGUACACACCGCCCGUCAAGUCAUGAAAGUCGGUAACACCCGAAGCCGGUGGCCUAACCCUUGUGGAGGGAGCCGUCGAAGGUGGGAC
Molecule: ribosomal RNA, 1340 nt
Filed under: Leucobacter komagatae
Lineage: Bacteria; Bacillati; Actinomycetota; Actinomycetes; Micrococcales; Microbacteriaceae
Description: 16S ribosomal RNA
Rfam family: Bacterial small subunit ribosomal RNA
Source: RNAcentral